Apis cerana (Asiatic honeybee) is the source of this 2106-nucleotide long non-coding RNA. RefSeq lists it as uncharacterized. Lineage: Eukaryota; Metazoa; Arthropoda; Insecta; Hymenoptera; Apidae. The record is from RefSeq and is a predicted model, not a curated record.
AUUCGACGAGGAGGGGAGAGGGGCGGUGUAACGAAGCUUGGUUCGGUCGUUUGCGGGGAUAGAUGCUCGAGAGAAAAGCUAAAAUGCAAUAUAAAAGUUCUCAUCGCGGAGUUUAGAUUCGCUUUUUAGAUUGUAGUUUAAGUAGUUGUCUCUCGGAGAAACCUGCUCUCUGAUAAGGAUAUUCGAUACUGUUAUGGGACGAGUGGGAAGGGAGUACAUAUAUCGAGUAAUUUUCCAAAAAUGUAUCGUCUUGUUUUGCGAUGAUCCCAUGUCGAUUUAUCGAUAGAAACCGUACCGCGCUACGAUUUGUCAUCUCGACGCAUGAUCACUCCAAGUAAAUUUUUAUCCGAGUUGUAUAACUUUUAACUUUUCCAACUUUUAUUGCCUCUUUUCUCCUUCGAUAUACGCUGUAUACUAUCGAACAGUAUUAAAAGAGAUAAUAAUAUAUCGUGCGAUCAAUAAGUGGAUCAAUAAUACGAUUAAACUGGCGUUCCAUUAGCAACGGACAAAUAGAUUGAAAAGUUGGUCAGGGUGGAGAGAAAUAGAACGGGUACGGAAUAUGACAAUUGUAACGAGAGAAAUAAUGGUAAACGGUAGUGAAAGGGAUCAAGAAUGAAGGAAGAGAAAUUCCCACCGGUGACCUUAAUCUAGGAAAUGGUCACUAAGAGGUGUCCUCUACGCGAGAGUAAGCAAAGCGAAACACGGACAAACGACCUGAGAGACCGUUUGGUUUCGUGCAAAGAAGAAGAAGAAGAAGAAAAAGAAGAAGAAAGAAGAAGAAACCGAGGCAGAGGAAAAGAAGGGGAAAGGGAAGAGGAACGACGCGGAAACGAUGAGUCAGGCGCGCGUGCGCUUCGUCAGGGGGAGGAGGGGGGGAGGGCACGGAGCUUUUCCGAAAUAGGGUCGUGUAAAUUCAGAAGCAGGCCCGGUAAUUCCGAGAAACGGCGCCAGUUUGCAUUAAGCCAACCGUUGUCUCGCGGAUCGGUUAUGAAACGGACGGUUAUGCGCCGCCCGCCGGAUUUCCUUACACACAGGCGGUUGCGAAUUAAAAUCUAGUUUGCCACGAACGCUCCUUUCGAAUAUUUUUCGUGGUUGCCUAUACGAAAAGAAAAAAAAAAGGCACAGAUUAUCUUUGAGAGAAGUGGUUAUCGAUUCGAUUAAAUAAUUGUUAAUAAUUUGUCUUAUACAGCCCUAAAAAUAAAGAAGAAACGGGUUAAAACAAAUAUAUCGAAUCCGUAUAAAAUAGAUCAAAUAUAUAUAUACCAAAUUCAUCUCCAUUUUGGUUGGCAAAAGUUAUUAUUAUUAUCGCGAAGAGAGGGGAUAACGGAUGGUUGGCUAGGUCAACGCAACAGGGAGUCGUAAUCUGUCGUUAUUCUCGAAAGUUGGCCCAUCUUCCUUCCGGCUUACGUAAUUUAAAAAAAAAAAAAAAAAAAAAAGAGUAAAUGGGUCGUCAUCCAACAGGUUCUCGAUCUUCGUUCGACGAAAAUGACGUCGAAACGAGGAUACACACCGAGGGAAACUCGGUCAACGACUUAACCGGAUUUAAGGCCGGGAAAACUUUGGGAAAAUUGACGAGGGGGGAAGAGGAGAGGGAGUCGCCUUGCGACUUUGUCCUCCUCGACGUUGUCGUCGUUGGCAGGCAUCGGGCGGUGCCCCUUUCGGGGCAAAACAUCCUCGAAGGGAGUUCUCUUACCUCCUUGUCGGGAGCUGAAGGCACCGGUGCUUCCAGCGAUGAUUAGAAGCAGCAGCGGGCUUAAUAAAGCUCUCGAGGAAGGCAGCAUCUUUCCUGUGCUCCUACCGGGCGCCUGCGCGACACAGGGUCCUUUAACCGGCUUCCCUCAUCACAGCCUCCCUGAAAAAAAGGAAGAAAAAAAGGAUGAGAAACGUUGUCGUCGAGUGACUCGUUAAGAUCAGAUGUAUCUGGAAAUGAAACGUGGUGGAUAAACGGUUUGGAAAUAGUUGGAUAAAAUCGUAUACUUUGUAAAAGUUGUAUCUAUCUUUUUCUUCUUUUUUUUCGUUCGUAUUAUUUUCGAGUUAUCAGAUUCUACUUAAAAGUUAUGUCUAUUUUUUUGAAAUUGAAAAUUAAACUAUAUAUAGUAAACUACA